This 2232-nucleotide long non-coding RNA is filed under the name Parus major (Great Tit). RNAcentral describes it as "lncRNA (ENSPMJG00000001676.1)". The record is from RNAcentral. Lineage: Eukaryota; Metazoa; Chordata; Aves; Passeriformes; Paridae.
UCUCUUUUGAAACAGCCAGACAAGACACACCAGCACCAACCCGAGGGCUUGUGGACAAUAACGCUGUGCUCUGGCUAACUUGUAGAGCUUGUGGCUGCAGAAGCUCUGCCAGAUACCCUAUGUACACAAAGCCAAAGGGACUUCUGAGAGUUCUCCUGACUGCACAUGAGUCACAGCAGAUCACGAGGGCGGUAUCAGAAGACAUACAGGCAAACAAACACAGAGCUGCUGCAUCCUCAAGUUAUGCUUCAAGCAUGGUUGCUCCACAGCUUUGUGAAUCAGCAGUCUUGUGUUCUUGGCCAGUUUCUACCAUUUACAUAUCCUGACUCCAAACCUACAGCUGCAUGACUUGUUUGCAUGACUAAUUUCACUGAACUCCAAGGGCAGGACUUCAGGGGCCUCCAAUUGCAGCUCCCAGUACGUGAGGGAGGUCACACCUAAUCAAGAGCCCCUGCUCCCCCCUCAGCCAAAGCAGUGAAGCUCCAUCAAAUGUGGAUCUCCAACAUCCCAGUCACAGAACUAUUUGCAAUGCUAGAUCUCUUUCCAUUCCUCUAACAGAGGUCUUAAAAUCAGGAGGAGGGAUGGAAGACAUGAUGACCUGGAUUAUGCCAUAACCUAGUGGCUACAGCAGCAUUCUGAGCCAUGAGUGGGUUGCAUCCCAAAAGGCCAAGAUGAAAGUGAACUGAGAUUUCCCACUCCCUAGCUGACUACAUUUAUUAAGAUACUGUGGGAAGGAAGCUCUGCUGCUUCCCUAACCCUUUUCACAGAAGCCUGUGGUUUUUCUGUGAAUGACACUGGCUCGGUGCUAAAAGGCUCUGAGGGAGCACGGCAGAGUGGGCCUCUCCAGGGAUUACAGUGGAAUUUUUUAUUACUGUGGAAUAGCCUUUGCUGUACUCCUGAAUCAGGCUGAGGGCCAGGUCACUGACACCUGUGCAGGCAUGGGCAGCCCCAUUUAGACACCUUGGGAACUGCCAGGACAGUUGGUGGUAGGAAUUUUUACAUACCCCUAGGCUCAAACAGCUACCACAGCAGAAAAUAGCUUCCCUGAUAGGUAUCUAGAAGAUAGGUAGUUUUCUUGAACUUGGCCAGAUGAAUCCUCUGAGUUCCACUUCUGGUGCCCAAUGUAAGCAUUGUAGAACCUAUCCAUCAUGACAGUGCAUUUAUUUAAUGACUUGGAUGUUUGAGGGCAAGUCUCAUAAUCCUAUGUAUUUUAACUCACCAUCCCAAACAUCUAAUUACUUACCUCAUGAUGAUAUUUUAAAGAUUAAUUUACAUUUGAGGAAAUGGCUCUAGGGUCCCUAGGGAAAUGGUCACAGCACCAAACCUACUGGAGUUCAAGAAGUGUUUGGACAAUGCUCUAGGGUACACUGUGUGAGCUGUCCUGUGCAGGGCAGGACUUUGAUGAUCCUUAUGGGUCCCUUCCAACUCAGGAUAUUCUGUGAUAUAUCACAGACACACAUGUAAUCCUGAGCACUUUCCAUGUAAUUAAAAAGAGCAGCAAGUGUUACCCUGAGAGCGAGAGCUGGCAGAACCACCAGCUCCAUCGCAAAUACUUGUCAUACAGGUUCUGAAUCGCCCUGGGAUGCACAGGUUGCAUUACCUGAAAAAGGGUGCAGUAGUAAGGCAGACAAGUUGUUCUGAGUAUCACCAUAUGUGCAGAGCACACCUGGCCUUUUCCUGAGAACCUCCCCAGGACUGGGAGUAUGUAACACUCCAAAGAUGGAAGACUGAUGGAGGUGAAUUGCUGGCCUUUUCAGCAGAUUGAAAAAAAAUGGCUCUUGGUGAUGUCGUGGAUGUUCUCAACUCACCUGCAACAAACAGGACCACAAUGAGAGUGAAUUCAUGUUGGCUAUCACAUUGUUAAAAAGGCUUAAACCUAGCAAGAGCUCUGACCACUUGGCAUUUUUAUCAAAAGUGGGCAUCCUACCCUGUAAAAACAUGCCAGCUACCCAAUUAUUUAUAAAGGUAAUCAUAACUGACUACCAUCAGUAGAUCCUGUAUUGUAUUGAAUUCAAGGUAUCUCCCUUUUAGUCCUGCCUGAGGCGUGGGAUGGAGUUUCAGAGCCAUCCUCACCUUGGUUUGUUAUCAGCCAGCUCCAAACAACUCUCUCAUCUGCCUGCAGAUCUCCUGGUCUGUGUGUCAAGGUAUCUGCCUUUUCCAUGAAGGAUGAACACAUUUCCCAAACUGUGGCUUCUUUUCCCUCUCUGAAUAAAAAAUUAAUAAAUGUUGUCA